RNAcentral lists this long non-coding RNA (9081 nucleotides) under Capsicum annuum. Its description in RNAcentral is "long non-coding RNA (CANN_LNC012598)". The record is from RNAcentral. Lineage: Eukaryota; Viridiplantae; Streptophyta; Magnoliopsida; Solanales; Solanaceae.
AACAAACCAAGCUGAUCCACCUAACUCUACUCAGGAAAAGUAGAGGUAUCUUCAGUGCCUGCAUUGCGUAGGGAUACAUUUCCUAGAGAUGGUUAGUAGGGUGAACUCUAUCAUAUAAUUCGGGUAUAAGGAUAACAUAAUGUCAUUAGAAUAGUUCAAAACCAUUCAAAACCAAUGCACAUAAUCAAAUGCAUAUACAUAGAUAUAUAUAUAUAUAUAUGUAUAUCAUAUGCCAGGAUAGGGAACAAGGCUUAACAUGCACUUUAAAAUUUAGCCUAGAUUGUAUAGCUCAAUCAUCAUAACAUAAAAAGGCACUCAUGAGUUAUAUGGGCCCAGAUCUCCGCCAGAUGGUAGGGACCCAGUAUAUGUGACUGCAUAAACCAAAAGGUAUAUAUAUGUGCUAUAGGGGACUAAAACCUCUUGGCAUAUCAAGAUGACACGAGAACCAAAUCAUAUAAUAAGAUGUAGGGGACUCAAACCUCCCAGUCAAAUGAUAAUAAUAAAGAGAACUCAAACCACUAAGUCAUAUAGACCCUUGUGUUGGGAACUACGAUUUCCAGUAUUGGUCCUUUAAGACCUUUACUUUCAUGACUCAGCUACACAACCCUCAUUAAAUCCCAAAUAAAAUAAUUAGCACAUACAUUAUCAUUUGUUGAACAAUGAUAUACAUUCAGGCAUACAUUGUUGGUAUCUUCAUACCAACUCACUUGCAAGGUAAUAUCAAAAUGCCAGACCAAUUAUCAUCACUUGGGGAAAUUCACAACCCCCUUGGUUCAACUAUACAUAAACUUAGGGAAGUAUAGAAUCCCUUAGGGUUCAAUCAAAAAUCAUUGUACUUUAUUGACUUUUCAUAUUAUGCAAUAGUUUAAGAGUAGUUCAAUAUGCAUACUUUUUAUAUUCAAAAUCAAAUUUCACAAUAUGAUGUUGGGGUAAUAACAACUUUAAAAGUCAUAAGUUAAGGGAAUCGCAAACCCUGGUUCAUUCGCCAUUCUCAUGCAUUAAUUUUAUUUUAAAACCACCAUUUAAACGUAACCCAUGUAGGGACAAAUAUGAAACAUCACAUAAACAACAAUUGUUCAAGACCCUCUACCCAUGUUUUCAAAACCUACCUUAAUACUAUGUGAACAACACUUUAAAGCUCAUGCUUUCAGAAAAUUAAUAAUUAGGGAAGUGUAACAUGCCUGAAAUACCAAGUUUCACGAAAAGAAUUCAAUCCUUGAGCCCUUGGAUGGCCUACUUUUUAAAAACCUAAGCAUGGAUGCUUAAGAGAAUUUAAGAGAGAUUUAGGAGCGUUUGAGUACGUUAUGUAUAGAAACAACCCUUAUUAAGUUCUUUAUGAACGUGGGGUUUUAAUUGAGUAAUAAGGGAAUUUUCCAAAGUGCACUCAAUUUAAAAGCUAGAAUUUUAUCAUCAGUGACUAAGGGUCACUAUACAACUCUUAUAGACUCAUUAUGAAUGGUCACCAAAAAUCGUAGCCAAGAUAGUUCAAGGAACUCACAAUCUGUUUACCCUAUGACUCAACCUAUAUGACUCAUAAUGGGACCCUACGACUCCUAGGGUCUAUUUAUAGUAAACCUAACAACCAUUCAGGUUAUACACUAGACACCCUAAGAUUUAAACCCAAUGCCUCAUAACGAGUCCUUAUGACUCGUAGAAAGCCACUAAUACUCUGAGCAAAACUCUAUCACACACUUUCUAAAUUGGCUAUAAUUUGGUCCAAUGACUCAUUAAAGGAAUCAUAAUAAGGACAUGAAGGAUAAAAUUUUAGAAAUUUUCAAUGACCAAAACCCUGAGACAUUACAAAUUCAUAGAUAUAAAUAUAGUUAUGAACUUACAAUAAUAAAAAAACUUCAAAAUCUCAACUUUAAUUAAAACCAUAGAAACGGUGUUCAUUAAAUCUUAAGAAUAUGUCUUAGAAUCUCAGAAUAUACUGUUGUAAAAUAUAAAAGAGUGUAAACUCAUACAAAAAAUCUUGUAUGAGUAGUAUAGAUAAGCUAAACCUAUCCUAGUAGAAAUAGGAAAUUUGGGUCAAUUAACAUUGAAGAUAGAAAGGUCAGAUCAUGGUUAGAACUCACAAUCACCAUGUAGUGCUCAUGGUUUAGUUUGUGAAUUUUCAUCUUUGGGUCUUGGUUGGUACACUUAUCAAUACGAACUCAUGGUACCUAGUAAUGAUCGUGCCAAGUGCUCAUUUGAUCUAUCCUCACUUUAAGGAUCUGAAACCUUCUUAUUGGGUCCUUCUUUCUAUAGAAUCAAGGUAUGGUCGUAUGAUCAUUAAACAAUCUAGGAGGGCUCUCAUCUGAUGAGUCUUAUACUUAACUCCUAUAUAUUUAUUUUUAGGCCUUCCAUAUGACCACAUGGUAUGAUGGUAUAUUCAUGGAACGAUCAUGCAAACUCUUUGUCUGAUCAAGUCUUAUGGACCACUCUUGUGGUGGGGCUGUUGGACCUGACCAUAGUCAUACUAAAGUUAUUAUAGCAUAAAUCAUCUAAAAGUCCAAUUUUAAUCAUUUUCAUUCUCCAAGCAUAUUCAAACUAUAAUUAUGCAAAAGCUAAUCAUAUCUACAUACAAAAAUACCCUUAUUCUUGUAAAUAUUCCUCAUUGUAAGCAUCUUAGGUGUCAUAAAUCAAUGAAAAGUCAGACUAUACUAUCAAUAUAACUAAAGGUAACAUUAUAACAAAUAAUCUUAGUUGACUUUCUAUGGGUAUGAUAUCACAUUUGUCACUUAUUCAAUGUGAGGUAGCCAGAGAUGUUCAAUUAGCCAACUUUGGAGUCUGUCUUAUGCAUUCCAAAGAUGGUAACAUUAUUGUCUUCAACACGGUCAAGCCAUCACUUGUGGUACUGGUGAAAUAGAGAUUGUAUGAUGAUACCUUAUUGCUCUAAUACAAAAAAAGAACUCAACAAAUCAAGCCAUAAUAUUUGAGCUAGAAGAUGAUAAAACCUUGAGAUGUCGAGGUAGAUUAUAUGUACCUGAUCUAGAUGGAUAAAUAAAAUAUAUUAUCACAGAAGCACAUAGCUCUUGUUAUUUAAUAUAUCUCAUUUGUAUAAAGAUGUACCAUGAUCUUAAAUAUAUGUAUUGGUUAAAUGACUUAAAGAGUGAUAUAGCAGAGUAUGUGGCAUGGUGCCCUAAUUGUCAGCAAGUGAAAACAAAACAUCGAAGACACGAUAGCCUAGCUCAGACCUUUAAUAUUCAAAUGUAGAAAUAAGAUGUUAUUAGUAUAGAUUUUUUGAUAGGUUUACCUUAUUCUUAUCAACAAUAUGACUUUAUUUGGGUAAUGGUUGAUCGACUUAUGAAACAGCCAAUUUCAAUAAUCCAGUGUUGGGCUUGAACUCUAAAAGGUUAAUUUUUUAUCCUAUCUUCGAGUAUCACUAUGGAUAAGUAUUUAGGGAUAUUUAUAUAACAUCUUUGUACUAGAUCUUAAAUUCCAUUUGGUUAAUUAAAAUUCUUAAAAUAGGAGAAAAUUUAAAAAUGUGAUAAAAGUUGAAAUUUUAGAAUUCUUACUUAUUAGAAAAUUCUGAUAUUGGACUAUAUAAGUUAGAAAAAUUAUUGGAUUCACUCUAGAUGGUUGUUAAGGAACUUAACUAUUUCUUUUUUAAGUAAAUAGUAUUAGAAUAACUUGGAACAUGAACCUACCUGUUAUUGAUGGAUGUACGUGUUAUCCUUGUAGUUAGCUGGUCAUUUAUUGAAUAGAGGGAACUUGCAAUUGGAAAGAUAAAGGCUACACUAUCACAGAUUGAAUUGUUGGAGGCUCAAAAUAUUAUCAAAGAUAUUAAAGUAGUAAAUGUAUGUAUAUUUAAACCUUUCCUCACCAUUAAGUCACAUCCUUAUGUUAUGUUUUUCUUUUAUGAAUGCUAAUUAAUUCUCAUGAAAUACAAAGAUUGGAUCUUCAUUUGCCUUACAUAGCAUUCUCUUGUAUGACCAUCAAGCUUAUAAGUUUUUGUCUUACACUCUUUAUGUCAAAUCUUCACAAUAUUACAUAUUAUUGUAAAUUUCUUUACUUGAAAUUCUUUGGUAACAUGGUAUAUUUAUCAUACAUUAUGAAUGAAAUUAAAUAGCCAUAGUAUAGUUACAAUUAUAUACAUGAGAAUUUAAAAUAAGUGGUAGAUUUAGAUAGAUAUUCCACUUAAAUAAUAAAUGAUCUCUACCAUGAUUUACAUGUCAUAGGCCUUUAAGAAAUUAUUUAGUAAAUGUUAACGACAGGAAGGUACAUAGAUUUUACUUUGCAUAUCCGCUUGAUGUGAUUUUAUGCACAGGAUUGACACUAGACCAUUAGAUCGUUAUUAGAUUAAGUGCAUUUGGAGUUAGCUAGAACGUCAUAUACCUAUUCCCCAUACUCAAGUAAAUAUAUGGCAUAUAUAUUCCAUGGGAAAAUCCUCAUAGUGAAUCUAUUAAGGUAUACCUUGUAUUAGACUGUGACUGUAGUUAUACGUAUAUGUAUUUGGACUACGUAAGCCUUGUAUUUGACUCAAAUCACUUUUGACAGACCAUCUAUGAUUAUUUAUACUAUACAUAAUUUAUGUACAACACCUAGGCAAAAUAUAGGUGCUAUAUUAUAAUGAAUGCUCCCCUGGAUAUUAUAUGAUGAACUAACAAAAUUGGUGCAUAUGUUACAGCUUCAUAUCUUAUAUAUAGUACUUGUAUGCUCAUAGUAUUUUCACUUUGAUACUUGAUUCAUAUGAGCUUUUGCACUUGUUAGCUGUAUUCUGUCUGCUUUUCAUUCCAGUAAAUAUUUUAUGUGUACUAACAUCUCCAUAUUAUUGACACUAUGUUUUAUUGACGCAGGCUCAGAUCCAUAAGAUAACAGACGUUCACGAUAGGCUCUAUUGUUGUUUUGGUUGUUAUUUUGGUGAACUCCAUCUCUCUCUGUAACCAGUUUACAUCUAGUAUUUUUGGAUAAAUGUUUAUAUCUCUAAUGGAGUAUGUCGGAGCCUAUCCCAACUAGUUAUUAGUAGUAUUAUGUGUUAAACUUAUAAGAGGCUUCAUGAAUAUCACACAGUGUUGUAAAUUAUAAUUUUUGUUCAUAUAACUCCAUUGUGUGUAUAUACAUCUCAUAUUGGAUAUCCAGGUCAUUGUUAUCCUAUAAUCUCAUAUGUGUCACAGAUAGCUUAUUUAGUAUGUGUGUAUAGUUCUUGUCCGCUCCUACCAUUUUGGGGCAUGACAAUUAAUAAUAAAAUCAAUAUAAUAAUUUUUAUACUAUUUGGUUAAUCGGCUAGCGAUCUUUUAUGAUGUAGUUAUUUGAUUCAACUAAUAAGAAAAUACUCAUGUAAUUUUUUUCUUUUUUAAUAUCCUUUGUACACACGCAAUCUUCACAGCAUAAUUAUUGCCCAAAAAUAUCAUGAACUAAUAAAUAUGAUCUCAAAGAAUAAAAAGAUUGGUUAUCUAAAUAUAACAACCAAAAAGAAGUAUUUGAAUGACUAGUAAAAAGUUGUAUCUCAAAGACACAAAUUCAUAUUCUUUCCUCUAUCUUGUUAGUGUUAAUAGUGCUUAACAUUUCUAAUCAAAGUAAUGAUUUUAAAGAUUCCAACAAAAUCCUGUCUUUUUUAAUUAAAGAGAUUGCAGACAUAUCAACCACAAAGAGAUAAAUAAAUAUAAACUUGAAUGCAUUAGAAUUCUCUCAAAUAUGUCUUUACUAAAAGAUUCAAUUCAAUAUAAAAUUGUAAAAUAAAAUUGUUACUUCAGAAGUCUAACGCUUCACCUAAAAAGGAAAAAAAAUAAUUCAUGAAAUAAUAACAGAGCUUCUAUCUAAACAAAAAAGUUACUUUCAUAUAAUUAAGGAUAAAAAGAUGAUUCAAUAUAAUUUAUUGGGUUAUCAGUUUAACCAUUAACUAGAAUAUAAAAACCAAAUUAAUAAACCAAUAAAAAAUUAUAAAAUUAUUUAAAAAUUGUUUAACACAAUAACCUAAUACCAAUAACCAAUAUUAUUUUUUAACUCGAUUUAUUAGGUAAACCGAUUCAUUUUUUAGUUAAAUGGAAUUAUACUAAAGUAAAAGAGAAACAAAUGUUCACCCUAUUUCAGCCAGUCGGGAUUUAAGACUAAAAACUUUGAGUUUCUAUUUGGGAAUGAUUAUUACAAAUUUUAACCGAUCUAACAAAUUGAGUUCCUGCAAUGUCUGCCUACACUACUUUGUGAGCACACAUAGAUGGAACUUCAAAACGUUUUCUUCCUAGUUCAAUAUUAGAAUCUUCCCCCUACUUGGCCAGCACAUCAGAAACUCUAUUCUUCUCCCUAUAGUAGUGGAACACCAUCGAGUUUCCUAGACAUCAUAGCUUUAACCUAUAAUCAUCAAUAAUGUCAUUAUAUACUAAAUAACCUAAUGACAAUAUGUGUAAAACCUCAAGAGAAUCAAUGUUAAUUUCAAUAGGAUUUAUGUGGAAUUCUUCAACUAUCUCCAAACCUUCUCUAAGAGCUAGAACCUCCAUAUGAUUGUUAGUAGUCCACGGGUACCCUUGGAGAAGCCCUUUACCUAGCCAGUAGUACUAUGUCUCAUUACCCUUCAAUUCUUCAUUUACCUAGUUUUCCAAGACAAGAGCCAUCAGUAUUUAGUUUUAAGAAGUUCUCGAUGGGGGAAUGACACUAAAUAUGUAACUCCUUGUAGGUCGGGGUGGGUUUAUUUACUGAGGAUAAAUAGAGAUACUCCAUUGCCUCUGUAUAUAUCUGGUGAAAAGAGAGUUUAUCUCUUUUCUUGCUAAACAUAUUCCUAUUUCUAUUUUUCAAAUACCCUAAAGGCUAAAAACUAGAAUAGUGUGCCUACUAAAAAUAUGAUCAUAAUUGGCACUUUGUAUCUUAGACCAGGAGUUAGAUCAGUUGAUAGGGUGGAGACUGCCCAGAUUAAUAUAUAGGUGUUUCCCCCUUAUGGAAUAGGGUAGCCCAGAAAUCUUUAAUGAUGAGGCAUUCAAACAAGAUAUAAAGGAUAUCUUCAUAAUUGUAGAUACAUAAGAUGCAUCUAGGGGUGAUUGGGAUACCCCUCUUGUGAAAGAGAGAGGAAUUAGGAAGUCCAUUGUGUUGAGCAAGCCAAAGAAAAGUUUUGAAUUUAAGGAUAAAGUUUACUUUAUAAAUCCAAAGAAGGGAUUAGGGUGGAGAUCAGAGUUGGGGUAGCUCUCUUUGGAUAGGAUAGAGUAAAUGCUUUGACAGGAGAAGAGCCCAUUACCAUUAAAUCUCUAUAUCAGCUGAUAAUUAGGGAUUCUAGUAUUAGGCCUGAAGAAAUAUUUGAUAUUGACGAUCAACUCAACGGGGAAUUGAAGGGAGAGGAUAUGGAAAAUUCUAAUUAAUCCUAUCCCAAAAAUAUGCAAGGGGAAGAUUUAACUGGGAGGCAGUAAGAGGACCUUGAAUCAUACUCCUUAUGGGUUCCCAAUGAAGGAUCUAUCUAUCCAACAAGAAGUUGAUUGUGCCCCCCCUUAUGGACUACCCAUUGGGCACCCAAUUUAUAGAAUUCCCUUCCUAAAAGAAAGUUCUUUAAGAUUUUGGAGGAUAAAUAUGUAUUAGAGUAAGACUUAUGAUGGUAUUUAUCUCUAAGAAUAUUUUCCUAGCGACUGUUAUGGUUAUGGAAGUAUCUCCAAGCAAAGCUAUCAAGCAUUAUGGCAUUUCUCAGGUUUUCUUUAUUUAUUCCUAAGCCACCUUCCUUUUUUAGGAUGGGUUAGAGUGUCCCAUCUAACAAGGUGCAUCUUUCUCUUCUCCAGUGUGAAAUUCAAGAGGAGGUGAAUUGAAAAUUUUUGUGAGUCGACUGUUGAGUAUUCUCAGUCGACUUUCUUGCAAAUCAAUAAACUUCACAAAAUAUAUUAGAUUUAAAUAAAUAGACAAGUAAAUAAGUGACUUAAAAUAAUAACACAAAGAUUUAUCCUGGUUCGAAACCCCAAUGUGGUGCCUACUUUUAGUUCCCUUGGGUUUCAAAGUUCCCUUAGAUCUUUCAAGGUGGAGUUCAAGUACAAUGCUGAUGAACAAGUUUCAAAGACAUAUUUUGCUCUUCUGAUCUUAUAAAAAGCAUCAAUUUGUAUUUCAAAGUUGAAUCAAUCUUAUUCUUUGUAUAACUAUUGUAAACUAAGAGUACAAAGCUUUGUUAGACUAUGAUUGAGUCACUCUAAGAUUUGUUCUUGAAGUUACGUGAGUGUUUCAGUCAUUGGUCUUCUCUUUUAUAAUCUUCAAUUGCUUCGGCUUCUAUUCUCCAUAAGGAAACCCAAGAGAUUUUUUCUCAAUCAAGGAUGUGAAUUGAUUUGUUGAUUGAGGAAUGGCACCAUAAAGUAUAUCCAACGUGGUGCAGUGUCCACAUCCAUACAUGCCUAUAUUAGAUAUAUCUAUUUAUAGGUUAUGGUCUUCUUUCCUUUUGCUCUUAGUCUUGAUUAACUUCGUUUUCCAUAAUUUUGGGAGGCCAGUAUUCUUCGCGAUUGAUACUGUUGCAACUUUGUUUUGCUUUCUUGUCUUGAUUUAUUUGCUUGUUGUAGUACUUUGAAGCCACUAAUAUCCUUGAUUGAUAUUCUUUCAAUCUUGGAGUCGGCUUUCUUGUGAUUGAUAUUCUUCCGAUCUUAGAGCGGGCUUUCUUAUGAGUAGAUGCUUAUUUUCUUUUUGGCUUGAUUUUUCUUGAUCCUUUGUAUCUUUGGUGUAUCCUACAAGAUCUUUGUUUAUUAGUUUGUCUCUUUUAGAACAUAUAGUGAAAUAAUGGGGCUAAUAAUCUCCCCUUGUUUUAUAAUGAUAAAUAAUAAACAUCAGCUGACUUUCCGAUUAUUAAUAAAGUGUUCCCCUGUCUUACACAUACCUUCAAUGUUUUUUAUUUUCUUUGAGCAUCAGUUGACUCUUAUCUUUUGAUGGUUGACUUGAUCUCCCUGUCUUACAGGCACGAUCAGUUGACUCUCAUCCUUUGAUAGUCAACUUUCUCCCCAUGACUUGUAGGCACCUCUGAUGUUGCUUUCUCCUCUUUUUGGCAUAGUAAAAAAGAACACAACAAUAGACAGACAAAAUGGUAGACAUAGAUUAAAUAAGCAGUCUAAGUGAUUACCAAAGGAUUUAAACAAAGCAGUUGAAAGUGUAGCAAACAGUGUGUAAAAAUCAUUUUACAACCCAAAAAAUGGGAUAGGACCCCCUUCUGAAUAAAAG